AAUGGCUGCGUAAUAUUCCACUGUGUGUGUGGACCACAUCUUCUGGAUCCCCUCCUCUGUCGAUGGGCAUUUAGGUUGUUUCCAUGUCUUGGCUGUUGUAUAUAGUGCUGCAGUGAACAUCAGAGUCCAUGUGUCUUUGUGAGUCGUGGUUUUCUCUGGAUAGAUGCCCAGGGGUGGGAUUGCUGGAUCAAAUGGUAGUUCUGUUUUUAGUUUUCUGAGGCAUCUCCAUACUGUUUUCCACAGUGGUUGCACCAGUUUACAUUCCCACCAACAGGGUACUAGGGUUCCUUUCUCUCCACACCCUCCCUAACACUUACUGUUUGUAGGCUUUUUGAUGACAGCCGUUCUGGCUGGUGUAAUAUGAUACCUCAUAGUGGUUUUGGUUUGCAUUUCUCUAAUAAUGAGUGAUGUUGAACAUCUUUUCAUGUGUUUUUUGACCAUCUGUAUGUCUUUGGAGAACUGUCUGUUUAGAUCUUCUGCUCAUUUUUUGAUGGGGUGGUUUGUUUGGUAUUGAGCUGCAGAAGGUGUUUAUAAAUUUUGGAGAUUAAUCCCUUGGCAGUCAAUUCAUUUGCAAAGAUUUUUCUCCCAUUCUGUGGGUUGUCUUUUCGUUUUGUUUAGGAUUUCCUUUACUUUACAGAAACUUUUUAAGUUUAAUUAGGUCCCAUUUGUUAAUUUUUGUUUUUAUUGUCAUUACUCUAGGAGGUGGAUCUGAGAAGGAUAUUGCCAUGGUUUAUGUCAGAGGGUGUUUGGCCUAUGUUUUCCUCUAAGAAUUUUAUAGUAUCUGGUCUUAUAUCUAGGUCUUUAAUCCAUUUGGAGUUUAUUUUUGUGUAUGGUGUUAGGGAGUGUUCUAAUUUCAUUCUUUUCCAUGUGGCUGUCCAGUUUUCCCAGCACCACUUAUUGAAGGGGCUGUCUUUUCUCCAUUGUAUAUUCUUGCCUCCUUUGUCAGAUUAGUUAACUGUAGCUGCGUGGGUUUAAUUCUGGGCUUUCUAUCCUGCUCCACUGAGCUGUAUUUCUGUCUUUGUGCCAGUACCAUACGGUUUUGAUGACUGUAGCUUUGUAGUAUGGUCUGAACUCAGGGAGCCUGAUUCCUCCAGCUCCAUUUUUCUUUCUCGAGAUGGACUUUGGCUAUUCUGGGUCUUUUGUACCUCCAAACAAACUUUAAAAUAUUUUGUUGUAGUUCUGUGGAAAAUGUUUUUGGUAAUUUGAUAGGGAUUGCAUUGAAUUGGUAGAUUGCCUUGGGUAAUAUAGUCAUUUUGAUAAUAUUGAUUCUUCCAGUCCAAGAGCAUGGUAUGUCUUUCCUUCUGUGUCAUCUUUGAUUUCUUUCAUCAGCAUCUUAUAAUUUUCAGAGAACAGGUCUUUUGUCUCUUUAAGUAGGUAUUUUUCCUAAGUAUCUCAUUCUUUUUGAUGUGAUGGUAAAUGGGAUUGUUUCCCUAAUUUCUCUUUCUGAUCUUUCAUUGCUAGUAUAUAGAAAUGCAGUCAAUUCCUGUGUAUUAAUUUUGUAUCCUGUGACUUUGCCAGAUCCAUUGAUGAGGACUCUUAAGUAAUUCCUGGUACUUAUUCUGGUUUCUUUCCAGAAGGAAGGUGGUAAACCCACUCCAAGAUUUUAAAUCUGCAGUUGGAAUGUAUCUGUCACAUGAAAAUGGGAAGUUGCUGCUUUGGGUCUGUUUUGUUUUGUCUUUAAAUAAACCCUUAUUGUGGAAGGAUUGGAUUCAGACUCAGGCUGGCUCUUUAUUAAUUUGAAUUUAUGGAAUGUUGAAAUGAGUUAAAACGAAUGGCAUCGGGGAAGACCUGAAGUUUGCAAACCGGGAGAGCCCACCUGCGUGUCCAGAGCCCCUGCCAGCUUAGCCCCCUCUCACUUCCCAGGCUGCUGCAACUCCUUGAAGAAACAAAAUAUUUAGGCACAGUGACUUUCACAACGUGGGGGGAAAUAAAUCUCAGAUGAAUAGGAGAUGGAAACUGGGCUGGGCAGGGAAGAGGGUACAGAAACUAGACCAUCGAAUACCUACUAGGUACAGACACUGCUAGUUGCUUUGCCCCUGGGAACUUUAACCCCCGUGUAGUUUUAUAAAUGAAAACAGGUUUAGAGACAGGGGCAACCCCAAAACCUAUACCUCUGACUCUCACCCUAAUGUUUGUUAAGCGAAUGAAGGAAAUGAGAACAGAGGCUCAGAGAGGUUAGGUGAUUUGCCUGAAGUCACCCAGCAGUUAAGGGGAUCAGGUCAGUUUCACGUCAGUCCUUCGUUCUCAGGUACUCUGUGCCUAGAGUUCCAUCCUGGGAAUUGACCUUGUGUCUUCCACCCAGCAUGGCCUUUUUGAGUCUCUCCUCUGGGCCCAGAGCAGGUUGUAGCUCCAGCACUUGGCUUACCUCCCUGACUGCGAGAGAAACAGGGAAGAAAAAAGAAGCAGAGGCACACCCCCGAGGGCAGAGUAGACUGUGCCCCCACCCCAGCUCUCACAUCCUGUCUCCCUGCAGUACAUACCGGCAUGUAAUUGUGCAACUGCUGGAGUGGGAGCUCUUUGAGGUCAGGAAGCCUGUCUUUGUAACCUCUGUCACCACCAAUUAACAUGGUGUUGGCACUAGGAGGGGUCAGUACACGUCUAGCGGGUAAAAGUCCACAGUACUUAUGUUGAAGGCAUUAGAACGUCUUUAAUUGAAUGUCGCACUCCCUAAUGGUGGGGGCUCAGGUCAUGCUGUCUUGGUUCCCCAGGGCCUAUUAGAAUGCACAGCCAUGUGGGACUUUGAUGGGCAGUGGGAGAACCUGGUUGGAGAAGUGGCCAGAGGGUGGAGAGUUGAGGGCCAGGAAGAUGGAGCAGGAGAGGGAAGGACAGAUGCAUUUCACUGACUUGACAGUUUCGCCUGAUGUUUGUCUGACUAGCCACAAGCAGAAAGUUAUUUUGGGAAACAAAUAAUUUAGCUGUAGGAUAGCCACAGAGAUAUACUUCAAAAUACCAGUCUAGGGAGGUCUCCUGUGGCCGCAGCAGGUUAAGGAUCCCAUGUUGUUGCUGCUGUGGCGCAGGUUUGAUCCCUGGCGUGGGAAUGUCCGUGUGCCUCAGGCACAACUGAAAAAACAAACAAAAAAUACCAGUCUAUCCUGCAUUAUUAAAUAGGUGUUACGAUUGUUAAUUUUCGUUCAAAGAGAAGCGGUGUCGUGGAUCUGGAAUCCAGACUCAACUCCAGUUCAUACCAUGCCAGUUUAAAAAGCUGCUUCCUGGAGUUCCCACUGUGAUGCAGUGGCAUUAGCAGCAUCUCUGGGCGCCAGGAUGCAGGCUCGACUCCAGCAUUGCCGCAGCUGCAGUGUAGAUCGAAAGUGUGGCCUGGAUCUGGUUCCUGACCCAGGAACUCCAUAAGCUGCGGGGCAGCCAAAAAAAAAAAAAAAACCCAGCCGAGUCCUUAAAGAAGUCACUUUCUCUCUCUAGGCCUUCGUUACCUCACUUAUGGGAAAAGAGCUACUUGGAGGAUAACAUUAUAGGAAAGAAGUGUGUAAAUUGUAUAAAUUGUAAAACUUGGCUAUAAAUGUUUUAUUUUGUAUUU
This 3532-nucleotide long non-coding RNA is filed under the name Sus scrofa (pig). RNAcentral's name for it is "lncRNA (ENSSSCG00005008331.1)". Lineage: Eukaryota; Metazoa; Chordata; Mammalia; Artiodactyla; Suidae. The record is from RNAcentral.